Molecule: non-coding RNA, 622 nt
Organism: Peromyscus maniculatus bairdii (prairie deer mouse)
Lineage: Eukaryota; Metazoa; Chordata; Mammalia; Rodentia; Cricetidae
Source: RefSeq, a predicted model, not a curated record
UUUCAGAAACAGAACCCCGCUCCAAGUCUUGUGAUCAUAAUCAGUUAGCAUCUGUCAAGGACAUGGGAGGAGAUAAGGAAAAGGGAGAGGCCUACUUGGAAAAAAAUUUUCUUGUUUAGGAGAGUCGCUUCCAGGAUGGUCGCUAAGAUACUCCCUGGAGCCGUUGCUUGGGAUGGCUUCUCGAUGGUUCUGAAUCGCCCCACCAUAACCCCCAGAGCGUGAGCGGGUCGGGGAAGCUGGGAGGGCCUUCCCUGUGCUGAGGGCCCGAGUUGAUCUCAGCCUAGCGUCUGUCACUGCUACUGCGCAUCUGCUAACUGCAAAGAAAACAACAGAAACCCUGGAGCGGUACAAGCCAACAUGACAGGCUCUAAUGGUCCUGGUCUGGAAUCCUAUUGUGCAACACAUGUUUACUGAACAUCAGUUAUGAGCCAGGCACCAUGCCAAAGACUGGAGACCACAGAUACAGGGAAAAGAGCAAAACCCCAAGGGGCUUAGAAACACAAAAGUGCUUGCCAAUGUGGUGUAAGAUGUUGACAGCACCCAAAAGAAUGUUCAUCUAGAUGCCUGUGGAGUGACUUUUAAAAUGAAGUCUGGGAAAUGAAAAAAUUAUCUGUGCAAAUAA